UGCUACAGUCAUUAUCUUCACAGGCGAAAGAGCUUUACGACCCUAAGGCCUUCUUCACUCACGCGGCAUGGCUAGAUCAGGCUUGCGCCCAUUGUCUAAGAUUCCCCACUGCUGCCUCCCGUAGGAGUA
RNAcentral lists this ribosomal RNA (129 nucleotides) under uncultured Alphaproteobacteria bacterium. RNAcentral describes it as "partial 16S ribosomal RNA". The record is from RNAcentral. Lineage: Bacteria; Pseudomonadati; Pseudomonadota; Alphaproteobacteria.